Molecule: transfer RNA, 89 nt
Filed under: Candidatus Omnitrophota bacterium
Lineage: Bacteria; Pseudomonadati; Candidatus Omnitrophota
Description: tRNA-Ser
Rfam family: tRNA
About the family: Transfer RNA (tRNA) molecules are approximately 80 nucleotides in length. Their secondary structure includes four short double-helical elements and three loops (D, anti-codon, and T loops).
Source: RNAcentral
GGAGAGGUGGCAGAGUGGUCGAAUGCGGCGGUCUCGAAAACCGUUGCCCUGCGUAAGUAGGGUCCUGGGUUCGAAUCCCAGCCUCUCCG